This is a long non-coding RNA of Lolium rigidum, 2222 nucleotides long. RefSeq lists it as uncharacterized. The record is from RefSeq and is a predicted model, not a curated record. The transcript has 3 exons. NCBI's taxonomy places the organism in Eukaryota, Viridiplantae, Streptophyta, Magnoliopsida, Poales, Poaceae.
CGCGUCGUCCAGGAUGUCGCCCUUGAGGGCACCACCCUUGCUACCUCGAUGCCACCGCAUCCAAAGGUCGAUUUUUUCAUCUGUUCGUCCGCGAUUGAUCUCCAUUACUCAUGUUAAUUAGCACUAAGCUGAAUUAGAGCGCUGUUAGCAUUAGGGUUAUUUAGAGCCAUGUCAGCGUUAGGGUUAAUUAGCAGCUACGGCUUAAUCAUAAUCUGGAUUCCGUUAGUCUCCUGUUUAGCAGCAUUAGACCUCCAUUAGGCCUCUCUAACUUAUCUGUGCAGGUAGCACGUAUGGUCUGAUUUGCUACAUAUAUUUGCAUCUCCUUUUAUCUGUGCAAUCAGCACGCAGAAUUUUCAAACUGUGUUGGCAACAUUUUAGAAAGCUGUUAGGGCUUAGAUAGAGGAAAUCAAAAUUGAAGCAGGUUAGGUUUUUAUAUACAAAGGUAAACCUGAACAUUGAGAUUAUGUCUUCAUUUUCGGUUCAUGCUGCAAUUAACUUCUUUCUACCGGUGCUUCCAAGUACAAAUUCAACAAUCAAAGGCCUAAUUUCUAUUACUGUGGUGUUCGUUUGCACACUCACUUUAUGUACCUAGUUGCCUUGUUCUGUUCUGAUGCUUGAAUUAUACUUUGCUCUCUUUUUUAUAACCAAAUUUUGCACUCUUUUGCUCAAGAUUUUAAUAUUACAGGAGUGUUCAAGUUGUGUACACAUAUUCUGGUAUUCUGUAUGCCGCAGUUGUUUACAAACUACAUAUUUGCUGUACUAGGUACUGUCAUGAUGAUGAUGAUUUGCUACGACGUUUCAUUUCCUAUACUGAUAUUUGAUUUUCUGAAAUUGCAAGUUUUGGAAGCCUGUGAGCAUAGGACGCUGGUACCUUUUGCUGAGAGCUUCUUCCAUGCUCUCGACUUGCAUUUCAACCAGUUCAUCCUUCCCCUCCGGCCUUGCUGUCGUGUGAUGGCGGUGAAUUCAUCGCGCCGCAGCCGUUGCUGUCUUCGUCACUAUGGUUUAGGGUCCUGCCGGGUUCAGGUGUCAUGUCAGAUCACUGGACUCUUGCGUUUGAGACCAUCUUGGUAGCUGUUAAGACUGCUGUAUGGUCUUGUGGCGGCAAUGCCCGGCCUCGGCGACAACCUCUCCGCCAGCUUCUGCGGGUGAUGGAGGAUGUCCUGGUCACCGGCAUCACCCUGCUCCAGUAAUCCCACCAGCAGAUGGCAUGCGGCGGCGCUGGUAAUCGAGGAUGAGGUGCUGUUCUGGCCUGGAGAUGGGCUGGCUGGUAUGUGCAGCUUCGCUGACCUUGUUACUAGUGCCCUUCUGCACUUGGCAGCUGGCCGGCAGAGCCGUUCUUGGUUUUUUGACAAGGGAACUACCUGUUGCAUGAUUCUGUAUUGUUCGUGACGUGUAGCUGCAUGUUGCAUGUUUCAUAUGGUACCUACAAAAUAUCAUAUUUGUUCAUAAAUUCUUCUAAAAGUUUGGUCAAACUUUACUUCGUUUGACUUUCUGAAAAAAAAUAUAGGCCUUAAGCCUUGGGAUGGAGGUAGUACAUUGCAGUGACCUUUGUUACCUCCAAGCGUGCUUGAAUUCGAAUGUUGUCAGUUUGAAUGCUUUUAGUUCAUUUGUUCUUUGACCUGGUACUUGCUUUGAUUAAAAUCAUGCUCUUUUGGUUGUGUAGUAGCAUGUAGAUGUACGGUUCCUGCAUUUUAGUCGAAACCCUCUGAAUUUAUAUAAUGCUUGCUGAAUUGUCUAUGCUGACUAUCUGGUUUUGGUCUUGUAGGAGGAUAUCAUGGAGGAUUAAAUGACAGGACCAGGUAGCUGGGUCCCGUAAACUUCCUCACUCAGUGGCACUAUAUGCGGAAAGCCGUCCUGGCUCCUGUGGUGCUCCUGCAGCUGCUGUGCUGGACAGAGGCGGCAUAUGUUGAAGUUCCUUGUAAUGUUUAGUGAUGGGCUCGCGUUGCAGCAUCCUUUUGAGCAUUGUGUAUGAUCAAAAGGGAAGAGAGGUCAUGCAGAAAUUUUCUCAAAUCUUGAAAUCAUUGUUUAGCUAUGAAAUAGAGAGGAAGUUGUCAAAUUUCUAUUCUUUGAUCCUUCAAGUUUGCAGCAGCUAGCUAGCUAACUUCAAAAUCUCAAUGGUUUGAUCGUUAGACUUGCAUCAACAAGUGCAGACUGACGUAGCUACCUAGGCCAGAAUGCACAUGCAGUUGCCGACCCUACUACUAUUACUUGAAUAGACGGUU